AGGACGAACGCUGGCGGCGUGCUUAACACAUGCAAGUCGAACGAGGCCCUGCCUUCGGGCAGGUGACCUAGUGGCGAACGGGUGAGUAACACGUGGGCAACCUACCCUCAGCUCUGGGAUAACCCCGGGAAACCGGAGCUAAUACCGGAUAUGACCUAGAACGACAUCGUUCUUGGUGGAAAGUUUUUCGGCUGAGGAUGGGCCCGCGGCCUAUCAGCUUGUUGGUGGGGUAAUGGCCUACCAAGGCGACGACGGGUAGCCGGCCUGAGAGGGCGAUCGGCCACACUGGGACUGAGACACGGCCCAGACUCCUACGGGAGGCAGCAGUGGGGAAUAUUGCGCAAUGGGCGAAAGCCUGACGCAGCGACGCCGCGUGAGGGAUGAAGGCCUUCGGUUGUAACCUCUUUCAGCAGGGACGAAGCGAAAGUGACGGUACUGCAGAAGAAGCACCGGCAACUACGCGCAGCAGCCGC
Molecule: ribosomal RNA, 473 nt
Filed under: uncultured bacterium
Lineage: Bacteria
Description: SSU rRNA
Rfam family: Bacterial small subunit ribosomal RNA
Source: RNAcentral